Molecule: RNA transcript, 1650 nt
Organism: Triticum aestivum (bread wheat)
Lineage: Eukaryota; Viridiplantae; Streptophyta; Magnoliopsida; Poales; Poaceae
Exons: 4
Source: RefSeq, a predicted model, not a curated record
GCGAACCUGAGCCGUCCUACGCUAGGUUCUGGAAGCCUGCCGCCGGCAUGGACGGCUGCCCUUCCCCAAGGCUGCGGGAGGCUGCGGUUCCUCCGGCCGGCCGGCGAUGGAAAAUGCUGGCCUUGAAUCCUGCUGGAUGCGGUCGACCAGUAAGUCAACCCUGCCCGCUUUGGAGAUCUAGUGAUCUACCCUUGCAUGUGCCCCCAUGAUAGAGCCGUCGGCAGACGCCGACUCCGCUGCCCGCCAUGGCCGUGGGUUGCAGGUUCCGCUCCGAGCGGAGUUUGCGGACAGCCUGGAACAUCCAGAUCCGUUGCCUCUUACAGUGCUCCCGCGACGUGAUGCGGAUUGCUGGCUCCGGGUGGUCUACGCCGGCAGACUCGAUUGCUGGCUCCGGGUGCGGGCAGCCGGCAGCAUGUUGGUUGCGCUAGCUCUGGGAGGACGCAGGGUGAAAAUCGCUGUCGACGGCAGGGUUCUCCGACGAGAUCUGCGCAGUCAAUGGACAGGGUAAAUCCAGAGGCACCGGGGUGGACCAAAAGGUUACGUCUUGGGAGUGCUUCACCGGACAGAACGCCGUGCCCACAUGGGAUGAGUGCUUUAGAGCAGUGAAUUUGCAAGUAUGCGCCUGCUCCCUGCUCGUCGCCGUCCUGGCAUCCCGCUUGUCCCGACAUGCGCCGUCAUUCUGUCUCCGCCGGUGCCACCACUACUCCCUGUUCAUUGCUACCAGACGAGCAAGAUGUCCGAUUCUGCGGUGGACAGGCACAAGACGCCGACGGAGGAAGAGAAUAAGAAUCCGGCGUGCGAGGAUGAGGAGGAAAAGGAUCAGGCGAGAAUGGAGGUGGUUACAGGUCUGAAUUUUGAUCCUCUUUUCCACCUAUACUUAGCAUGAUUUAUUUUCAGUAUUCUCUGUAGUUUAUAAGCAGCAAAUGCCACCAGGGAAUGCUCCAUGUUGUAACAAAUUUGUGAACUCUGAACCUAGUCAAGUGCUUCUACUACAAGCUGUUCCACUGGUUGAUGAUGAUGAUGCACUGCUAAUAUUGGACUUGCCAGAGGUAAGCUCAUUUUCAUACUCAAGAAACAUGCUUGUGGCCCUAACAAGUGAGACUACCUGACAUUUUCUUACUCUUAUGCACAUGGACAGUAUGUAUAAUGACACCUGAAGCAUUUUGGUACUGCGUGUCAGUAUGUAUAAUGAUUUAUUUUUAGUAUUCUCUUUUCAGCUAAGAGUCAUUUUUUGUGGCCGCCCAGAGAUAGGAAAACUGUGUCUAGUCAAGACCUACUUAGCAACAAAGAGAUAGGUCUUCAGAGCAGCUGCCUUUGACUUGGAAAAGUUCAGGACUAAAAUUUGAUGUUCAGGAGAAUAAAAUUCAUCGUAAAUAUGGGGCUACCAUUGACUUGUCGUUCAUCGCAAAGUUCAGGAGAAUCUGAAUGUAUGUUCAGAACUAUGAAAUCUGGUGUUCAAGCACAUGUUCAGGAUGUGAAAUCUGAAACCUGAAUCCGAUGUUCAAGCUAGCACUGAUGUAUGCUCACUGAAAUUAUGUUAGUUUUAGAACUGCUCGUUGCUGCAUUCGAUAAACUGAAUCUAACAUUGUAUCAAAUGGACCAAAGAUUUGCUCGUUGUUGCAAAUCUGAAUGUAGUUUAAACAUUGUUCA